Molecule: microRNA precursor, 95 nt
Filed under: Canis lupus familiaris (dog)
Lineage: Eukaryota; Metazoa; Chordata; Mammalia; Carnivora; Canidae
Also listed under: 1 other name
Description: mir-8799 microRNA precursor family
Rfam family: mir-8799 microRNA precursor family
Source: Rfam by way of RNAcentral
GGGGGGAGCGCCGGAUUCUGGGCUGUGUCUUCCGACGCCUUGGGCUCUGGGGCCCGCGCCACUAGAAUCACACUCCCAGGGCCGUGCAGCCCCCU